CAGGAAUUAUCUGAUCCUUUUCGGAGGUGACGAUAAUGGAAUGAGCGGCGGACGGGUGAGUAACACGUAGGCACCUGCCUGUAAGACUGGGAUAACUCGUGGAAACGCGAGCUAAUACCGGAUAACACUUUUUAUCUCCUGAUGAGAAGUUGAAAGGCGGCUUUUGCUGUCACUUACAGAUGGGCCUGCGGCGCAUUAGCUAGUUGGUAAGGUAACGGCUUACCAAGGCGACGAUGCGUAGCCGACCUGAGAGGGUGAUCGGCCACACUGGGACUGAGACACGGCCCAGACUCCUACGGGAGGCAGCAGUAGGGAAUCUUCCGCAAUGGACGAAAGUCUGACGGAGCAACGCCGCGUGAGUGAUGAAGGUUUUCGGAUCGUAAAACUCUGUUGUUAGGGAAGAACAAGUGCCAUAGUAACUGAUGGCACCUUGACGGUACCUAACCAGAAAGCCACGGCUAACUACGUGCCAGCAGCCGCGGUAAUACGUAGGUGGCAAGCGUUGUCCGGAAUUAUUGGGCGUAAAGCGCUCGCAGGCGGUUCUUUAAGUCUGAUGUGAAAUCUUACGGCUCAACCGUAAACGUGCAUUGGAAACUGGAGGACUUGAGUGCAGAAGAGGAGAGUGGAAUUCCACGUGUAGCGGUGAAAUGCGUAGAGAUGUGGAGGAACACCAGUGGCGAAGGCGACUCUCUGGUCUGUAACUGACGCUGAGGAGCGAAAGCGUGGGGAGCGAACAGGAUUAGAUACCCUGGUAGUCCACGCCGUAAACGAUGAGUGCUAGGUGUUAGGGGGUUUCCGCCCCUUAGUGCUGAAGUUAACGCAUUAAGCACUCCGCCUGGGGAGUACGGCCGCAAGGCUGAAACUCAAAAGAAUUGACGGGGGCCCGCACAAGCGGUGGAGCAUGUGGUUUAAUUCGAAGCAACGCGAAGAACCUUACCAGGUCUUGACAUCCUCUGAACACUCUAGAGAUAGAGUUUUCCCUUCGGGGACAGAGUGACAGGUGGUGCAUGUGUCGUCAGCUCGGUCGGAGAGU
Molecule: ribosomal RNA, 1033 nt
Filed under: Oceanobacillus sp.
Lineage: Bacteria; Bacillati; Bacillota; Bacilli; Caryophanales; Bacillaceae
Description: bacterial SSU rRNA
Rfam family: Bacterial small subunit ribosomal RNA
Source: RNAcentral